GGUCCGCGGGAAUUCGAUUCCUACGGGAGGCAGCAGUGGGGANUAUUGCNCAAUGGGCGCAAGCNUGAUGCAGNGACNNCCGCGUGAGGGAUGACGGCCGUCGGGUUGUAAACCUGUUUCAGCGCCGACGANGCGUAAGUGACGGUAGGCGCAGAAGAAGCACCGGCCAACUACGUG
Molecule: ribosomal RNA, 177 nt
Filed under: uncultured bacterium
Lineage: Bacteria
Description: partial 16S ribosomal RNA
Rfam family: Bacterial small subunit ribosomal RNA
Source: RNAcentral